Molecule: long non-coding RNA, 910 nt
Filed under: Gallus gallus (chicken)
Lineage: Eukaryota; Metazoa; Chordata; Aves; Galliformes; Phasianidae
Description: lncRNA (ENSGALG00010019480.1)
Source: RNAcentral
GUAACGCAUCAGUGGUAGGUCUCCCCCUGCUCCACCCCUUUCUCUUACGAAUGAGGACAAGGAAGAAAAUGCAGGCAAAGGAAACCCAACCAUACCUUCGUGCAGGUGGAGUAAAAAUAGAAGUAGCAGUCGACUCCUCGCUGAGACAUGAUGAAAUUCUCAGAGCAAGCUCGGCUUCAGAGGAGUUCCCUGCUCUUGGAAAGAGCCGGACGCCCUCCUUCUUGGACUGCUUGGAUCCGCAAAAUCGCCUUUCCGACCGGGACCCUGAGGAAAGGGUCAAGAACCGGAAAAGAAUGAGGAAUAAGCAUUUCCCCAGCUUUCCUUUUAUGCAAUUUAGACUCUCGAGGAGGGCAGCGUCUCGGAAGCAGCUGGUUGAAGAACUGUGCCAACUCUAGAUCCAACUUGCGUCUAACUGCCACGACCUCUCCCAGCAAGUACUGUCCUCCAUCUCACCUACAGUUACGUAACUUGCAGCACACAUUUUGCGUUCCUGUCAUGAGAAUGAAUCCAUCUUCUCCCCUUGCUGCAGCUGCAAGGGAUGCACUGCUAACACACCAGCCCGAUGGCUGAGCAACACCGUCAGCGAGAGCGGGCAGCACCCGUCAGCCACCACCACUCUCACUGCCAGCCGGGACGAGGGCUGACGCAGCGUGUCCGCACUCCUGCGCAGCGCUCACGGCUGUGGCACUCACUGGUGGCAGCCACGGCCCGAAAGACAGUGCUUGUGAGGUCACUGUGCUUGUGAUGUCACCGGACAGUCCAUGCCCCAGCUGAGCACUUGGCUCUCCACCGUGACUCGAGUGGGGUUUUGUUAAAAAUAUGCUGGAUACGGCACAGCCAGCCAUCGGUGGGUCAAUAAAGCACAAGUUGCACUCUGUGAAGUCUGUGCUCUUCUUCCUUUGGAAUGUCU